RNAcentral lists this ribosomal RNA (657 nucleotides) under Salmonella enterica. RNAcentral describes it as "partial 23S ribosomal RNA". It matches the Rfam family "Bacterial large subunit ribosomal RNA", at positions 1 to 688 of the family's 2925-position model. The record is from RNAcentral. Lineage: Bacteria; Pseudomonadati; Pseudomonadota; Gammaproteobacteria; Enterobacterales; Enterobacteriaceae.
GGGUUGUGAGGUUAAGCGACCAAGCGUACACGGUGGAUGCCCUGGCAGUCAGAGGCGAUGAAGGACGUGCUAAUCUGCGAAAAGCGCCGGUAAGGUGAUAUGAACCGUUAUAACCGGCGAUGUCCGAAUGGGGAAACCCAGUGUGACUCGUCACACUAUCAUUAACUGAAUCCAUAGGUUAAUGAGGCGAACCGGGGGAACUGAAACAUCUAAGUACCCCGAGGAAAAGAAAUCAACCGAGAUUCCCCCAGUAGCGGCGAGCGAACGGGGAGGAGCCCAGAGCCUGAAUCAGCAUGUGUGUUAGUGGAAGCGUCUGGAAAGGCGCGCGAUACAGGGUGAGAGCCCCGUACACAAAAGCGCACAUGCUGUGAGCUCGAUGAGUAGGGCGGGACACGUGGUAUCCUGUCUGAAUAUGGGGGGACCAUCCUCCAAGGCUAAAUACUCCUGACUGACCGAUAGUGAACCAGUACCGUGAGGGAAAGGCGAAAAGAACCCCGGCGAGGGGAGUGAAACAGAACCUGAAACCGUGUACGUACAAGCAGUGGGAGCCUCUCUUUAUGGGGGGUGACUGCGUACCUUUUGUAUAAUGGGUCAGCGACUUAUAUUCUGUAGCAAGGUUAACCGCAUAGGGGAGCCGAAGGGAAACCGAGUCUUAAU